CUUCGGCUCCUAAACUGCGGAGGCUGCAGGGAGUGGGACCAUAGCGUCCCGCUGAGGGGCGCCAGAGGCAACGGGGUCGCACGGGAAUAGCUGUUCCGCUCCUGCACCGGCCUCGACUUCAGACACUUAAACUUCAAGGUAGCUUCCUUUUAAGGUCCUAACUUCCUCAGCCACAACAGGCCUCCAGGCAAGACAGCGUUCAGCAGAAGUUAGCUGAGAGCCCAGUGCCUGGGAUGGGUUGUGUCCAGCAGGAACCUGUGCAUCAGAAUUGAAGAGAGGUUACAAGCCAUGCACAUAAGGAAUGGAUUUCACCAAUCAUUGGAACACCCCCUUUUCUGCAUACUCUGCACAGUAUGUCACUCAUGUACAGAACCUGUGAAGGCCCUGCUCAGAGCAGAAAGUGGCUCCCAAAUUCCUUGGCCAACUGAGUUCAGCUAGUGGAAAGGUGUUUGAAUGGUGAAGAAGGAUUGAGGGUCAUGAAGGAAACAUCACCAAAUCUUUAUCCUUUGUCUCCAAAUGAGGAGGUUAAAUUCUUGCUCAGAGUCUGAUUGCUCCCAUCUGGCACUGCCAGAGUGUGGGUGAGGGAGGCUGAACUGGGAGUUAAGUGAGGCCCUGCUACCUCCAGGCCCCUGCUCUGUGCACAGGUGCAGAACCUACUUAUGUGUCAGAUGGGCCUCAUGGACAAUGAGGUAUCCCCGUGGCCAGAGGUUGUGCUUUGGGCAUACAGGAUGCCCUGUAUGAAAUGCUAAUGACGUGGCUCAACAAAAUGGGGCAAGGUGCCUCAGUCAACAUCCCACUGGAUGCCUUGGAAAUGCUAGGGAAAAGAUAGGUGAAGGAGAGAAUUCAGGAGCACCUGGUGGGCUCUGGAAAGGGCAUCUAUGAAGAAGAUGGGACAGCUCUGCUAUCUCCUGAGUGGAAAGAAUCUUUUUAGGAAUCUGAGCUUCCCUGGUUUACCUUUCUUCUUGAAGGGGAAGCAUGAGUAGACACCAGCCUGGAAGAAAGAGUAGAUACUUGAUGAAUACUUGGAGAAAUUGUAAUUAAAAACAUACAGCUCUUGGAGUGUUCUAGAACUUUUUUUAAUGCACUUGGAAUAAUUUUUAUGAAAUGUUGGGUGUGAUAAGUGAAUUGUGGAAAAAUUCUAUAUGGAUUAUAGUUACAGUUAUUUUAUUGUGUUUCAUUUUAUUGCACAUCAAAGAUAUUGUACUUUUUACAAAUUAAAGGUUUGUGGAAACCCUGA
Molecule: long non-coding RNA, 1237 nt
Organism: Nyctereutes procyonoides (raccoon dog)
Lineage: Eukaryota; Metazoa; Chordata; Mammalia; Carnivora; Canidae
Exons: 6
Source: RefSeq, a predicted model, not a curated record